RNAcentral lists this ribosomal RNA (497 nucleotides) under uncultured bacterium. Its description in RNAcentral is "partial 16S ribosomal RNA". It matches the Rfam family "Bacterial small subunit ribosomal RNA", at positions 28 to 507 of the family's 1533-position model. The record is from RNAcentral.
GAUGAACGCUGGCGGCGUGCCUAAUACAUGCAAGUCGAACGAACGGACGAGAAGCUUGCUCUUCUGAUGUUAGCGGCGGACGGGCGAGUAACACAUGCAUAACCUACCUAUAAUACUGGGAUAACUUCGGGAAACCGGAGCUAAUACCGGCUAAUAUUUUGAACCGCAUGGUUCAAAAGUGAAAGACGGUCUUGCUGUCACUUAUAGAUGGAUCCGCGCUGCAUUAGCUAGUUGGUAAGGUAACGGCUUACCAAGGCAACGAUGCAUAGCCGACCUGAGAGGAUGAUCAGCCACACUGGAACUGAGACACGGUCCAGACUCCUACGGGAGGCAGCAGUAGGGAAUCUUCCGCAAUGGGCGAAAGCCUGACGGAGCAACGCCGCGUGAGUGAUGAAGGUCUUCGGAUCGUAAAACUCUGUUAUUAGGGAAGAACAUAUGUGUAAGUAACUGUGCACAUCUUGACGGUACCUAAACAGAAAGCCACGGCUAACUACGUG